AUGAACGCUGGCGGCGUGCCUAAUACAUGCAAGUCGAGCGAACAGACGAGAAGCUUGCUCCUCUGACGUUAGCGGCGGACGGGUGAGUAACACGUGGAUAACCUACCUAUAAGACUGGGAUAACUUCGGGAAACCGGAGCUAAUACCGGAUAAUAUAUUGAACCGCAUGGUUCAAUAGUGAAAGACGGUUUUGCUGUCACUUAUAGAUGGAUCCGCGCCGCAUUAGCUAGUUGGUAAGGUAACGGCUUACCAAGGCAACGAUGCGUAGCCGACCUGAGAGGGUGAUCGGCCACACUGGAACUGAGACACGGUCCAGACUCCUACGGGAGGCAGCAGUAGGGAAUCUUCCGCAAUGGGCGAAAGCCUGACGGAGCAACGCCGCGUGAGUGAUGAAGGUCUUCGGAUCGUAAAACUCUGUUAUUAGGGAAGAACAAAUGUGUAAGUAACUAUGCACGUCUUGACGGUACCUAAUCAGAAAGCCACGGCUAACUACGUG
Molecule: ribosomal RNA, 496 nt
Filed under: uncultured bacterium
Lineage: Bacteria
Description: partial 16S ribosomal RNA
Rfam family: Bacterial small subunit ribosomal RNA
Source: RNAcentral